Long non-coding RNA from Petromyzon marinus (sea lamprey), 1027 nucleotides. RefSeq lists it as uncharacterized. The record is from RefSeq and is a predicted model, not a curated record. Lineage: Eukaryota; Metazoa; Chordata; Hyperoartia; Petromyzontiformes; Petromyzontidae.
CGGAUAGACCGACUGCGAGAGAAAGAGAGAAAAGGGCCGAAAACGCUUGAGAAAAGAAACCGAUAUACACAUUUACAAGGGAACUUUACUACUUGAAAGCACGCAUUUAAGAGUGGCAUUUUGGGGGCACGAGGGCCCAGUUACCAUAGCGCCCGGCCCUCUCCAUCCCCAAGAGGCUCUUUAAAUAUUCACGGUUGGAGACUUUUUUUUGUUUGUUAUGAAGGGGGGUGACGGCAGCACCGCGGGCAGCAUUUAUAAGGGGGAGCUGUCGGGGUUUUGAGGGUUUUUUAUAUUAUUAUUUAAUUUUCUUCACGGAGAAAAGCGGAGGGCUCCAUUUUUAUUUUCUUGGCCCUCGGGUUUCUUUGUCCGAAGGAUGUCGCGAGCGUCUAAUGCGAGGCGUCUGCUUGCCCUACUGCUGCUUCUGACGGCCGCGAGCCUCGCCGUGGCUCAAACUCAACUCUCUCCCACCAACUCCACCGGCAACUCGACUGCGGACUCGGGGUCAGGGCCGACGCUGCCCCUGCUGCAUCUGCUGCUGGCCUCCCUCCUGCUGCCCCUCGUCACCCUGAGACCUGUGCUGGCCUAGCCCGGCCUGCGCCCACCCACCCACCCACCCUCCCUCACUCCCCACUCAUCAUCAGCAGCAGCAGCAAUUGCGGCAACAACAUCGUCAGUAGUAGUAUCAGCAGCAUAAGUUGUAAUAGAACAAGUGCCGUUUGGGUAAGAGGGGUGCAAUGCCUCCCAAUGUUUCGGCUGGGCAAGGAGGAGUGGGGGGGGCAUCAGCUAUGCCAUGAGCGGCCCUUCAUCACUCACAUCCAGUUGAGAUUCUACUUUGCCCACCGCCUCCAGUAAUUCCCAAGCAGCGCGUAGUUACGGCAGCAGUAUCAGCGACAUCAAUAAUAGCACGUGCGUAUACAGGUAUAAGAGCAUGCCUGUUAGUAGCAUCAUCGGCAGCAGCAGCAUCAUUGACGUAGAUCAUCAGCAGCAGCAGAAACAGCAAUAGAUAGCAUGGUCAGUAGCACUCGCA